CUCCAGAAUCUGCGCCACGCUAGUCACUGCUCAUACAGUAAAGGGCUGUUAUCUGGCACACUAAGUUUACAUUUUUUAAGAAUGUAGAGUGAGGUCAGAGGCACCGGCACUGGCACCAAACACUGUCUUGAGGAGAACGUGUUAUAAGAACAUAAGAAAGGAGGAACACUGCAAUAGGCCUACUGGCCCAUACUUGGCAGGUUCUUGUUAAACUCAAACCAUCUAAAAAUUAUUUGCUCAACUCAUUAUCAAUGUUACCUAAGGAAUAAGUUUUGUUAACCCUAUUAAAUCAGGUGCAACUCCCACUCAAAUCCAACCCCUCUCACUCAUAAGAACUUACACUAGGGAAGAUAGUGCCGAGCCCAGUGUAUCUCUCGAGAGGUGUGCUUCAGGACGCUACACACACUUGAGCCCAGUGUAUCUCUCGAGAGGUGUGCUUCAGGACACUACACACACUUGAGGCCAGUGUAUCUCUCGAGAGGUGUGCUUCAGGACGCUACACACACUUGUGGCCAAGUCCUCAACGGAACAAGAAACACUCGCGUCCCUCAGUAAGGUCACUUGCACACCCACACAAGAUGCUCUAGGCCACAUAGUGACCUCCAGUCACUACAAUUCCGAGGCUCAGGAGUCCUUUCACACCAGUGCUGAUGACUUCUUACGCCCCAGCGGUGCUACCAACCAGGUAUAGCAACAGCACGAGCAACAACUGCAACAACACGAGCAACAACUGCAACAACACGAGCAACAACUGCAACAACACGAGCAACAACAGCAGCCUUACCACCUGGACGGAAGUGUAGUGAAAGACAAUAUGGCCGCCACGCGACACUUAUCAUUAUUAGAAAGAAAGGAAAAGCAGUGGGAAGAAGAGAGAGCCUUUCUGAACGGUGGCUGUGGCUUCUGGGGUCGUUCAGAGCCCACGGGCCCACAACGACCCACACCGCCCACUGACAAGCCUCCC
Molecule: non-coding RNA, 964 nt
Organism: Cherax quadricarinatus
Lineage: Eukaryota; Metazoa; Arthropoda; Malacostraca; Decapoda; Parastacidae
Source: RefSeq, a predicted model, not a curated record